RNAcentral lists this ribosomal RNA (433 nucleotides) under uncultured bacterium. Its description in RNAcentral is "partial 16S ribosomal RNA". It matches the Rfam family "Bacterial small subunit ribosomal RNA", at positions 29 to 507 of the family's 1533-position model. The record is from RNAcentral.
AGCGAACGCUGGCGGCAGGCCUAACACAUGCAAGUCGAACGAACUCUUCGGAGUUAGUGGCGGACGGGUGAGUAACACGUGGGAACGUGCCUUUAGGUUCGGAAUAACUCAGGGAAACUUGUGCUAAUACCGAAUGUGCCCUUCGGGGGAAAGAUUUAUCGCCUUUAGAGCGGCCCGCGUCUGAUUAGCUAGUUGGUGAGGUAAAGGCUCACCAAGGCGACGAUCAGUAGCUGGUCUGAGAGGAUGAUCAGCCACAUUGGGACUGAGACACGGCCCAAACUCCUACGGGAGGCAGCAGUGGGGAAUCUUGCGCAAUGGGCGAAAGCCUGACGCAGCCAUGCCGCGUGAAUGAUGAUGGUCUUAGGAUUGUAAAAUUCUUUCACCGGGGACGAUAAUGACGGUACCCGGAGAAGAAGCCCCGGCUAACUUCGUG